RNAcentral lists this long non-coding RNA (425 nucleotides) under Elaeis guineensis (African oil palm). Its description in RNAcentral is "long non-coding RNA (EGUI_LNC075010)". Lineage: Eukaryota; Viridiplantae; Streptophyta; Magnoliopsida; Arecales; Arecaceae. The record is from RNAcentral.
UGCCGCACCUCAACCUCAAUAUCAGGACCCAACAUAUAGACAUGGACCAUACCAUCAAUUUCAAAAUGCUCCUCAACUGUCUACUACUGGUCAUAGCUCAGCUUUUGAGGAAAAAGUUCUGAAAGCACUAGAACGAUUAGAAGUCAACACUCAGAUCCUUAACUCCCACACACAAUCCAUUGCUAAGCUAGAGACCCAAAUAGAUCAACUAGUGACUGCAUUCAAUAGGAGGGAAGGAGAAAAAUUACCUAGCCAACCCGAGAGCAACCCAAGAGGGCAAUUUGUGAUUGAGAGUUCUAAUACCCCAGAAGCUUUUUCUAAACAUACCAAAUCAAUCAUGACUCUGAGAAGUGGGAAGGUCAUUGAACACACUAGUAAAACCAAUGAGACCGACCCUAAACCUCUUAUCGAAUCCAAAUCACCCA